Brienomyrus brachyistius is the source of this 1280-nucleotide long non-coding RNA. RefSeq lists it as uncharacterized. Lineage: Eukaryota; Metazoa; Chordata; Actinopteri; Osteoglossiformes; Mormyridae. The transcript has 3 exons. The record is from RefSeq and is a predicted model, not a curated record.
UGACCCCCCCACCCGCAUCCUUGUCCACCCCGGGGGGGGGGGGGGGCAGAUAUGACUUAGACCCUGCCCACUGAUGUUUUUGCCGAUAUUCACAGCGAUAUGGUCUCCCACGCCUGCUGCGCGCCGUUCACUGAAGGACCCCCCCAACCCCCCCACACACAGACUGCACACAGCCAGGAAGCUAUGCAGACAUUCUGGGAUGACAAGCAGCAAAGUCCACUUCAGGCCUUUGGAAUUACAGCUCUGUGUUGUUUUGCAAACAUUCAUUAUUCCAUGUCAGGCCAGCAGGGGAUUAAAGCACACGUGGGGGGGGGGUGUUCUCAGAGAAGCCUAGUAAGGAACGCUGUCCCUCCUUCUAAAUUCCCUUAGCAGGGCAUUAAACACUGGAAUAAUUAAAAAGCAACAAUGCAGUAUCUUAAUGGGCAGGACAGCUGGCUCACAACUUUGAAUUCUCCCUUUAGUUAUUGUCUGUGUAGUGUGUGCGUGUGUGUGUGUGUGUGUGUGUGUGUGUGUGUGUGUGUGUGUGUGUGUGUGUGUGUGUGUGUGUGUGUGUGUUCCUGUUCUCCUGGCACUGCUCUGCACGCUUUGUCCUGGGGCCUGGUCAGCCUCCUUCUCUGUGCAGUUUGCCAGCAGCCUUGGUGCUGCAUGUGCAUGUAAGCGUGUCAGCAAUAGGCGGCUGCAUGCUUGCCACCAGCAUGCUAUGGGCCUACCUGCAGCUGCUCUGGUCCCGUACCCCCCCCCCCACUGCCUCCCGGACGGACCUCAAUUGAGUGGAAAAAGCAGCCGUGGCUCACUCGGUCCUUUAAGGGGGGGUGAUUAAUUAUUGGUGCCAUUAGUAGCAUGGUGCCUGCAGGUGAAUGUGAAGUGAUCUGCUUUAAGGGAGUGUAAAAAAUAUAUUUAUAAAUAUUUCCAUAAUAAAAUGCUGUUAAAUAAGUAUGUUGAGUUUGGAGCAGAAUGAGUCAGUUGUCAGGAGAUGAACUCUCAGCUCAGACAUGAAAGCGUGGUUGUCAUGGGUAGAAGUACUGUGAAGAAUGUUCUGGUGGCUGUUUAUGUAGGUCAUUACAUAGAGACUGGAGGAGUGGGCAGGGGUGGCGAUGGUACUAGGUCUCAGGUAGCAGUGCCAGUUUCUGACUUGGAUCCAGGGUCGGGGAACUGCAGCUCUGCUGUUUGUGUCCGCAGUGCUGACUUGACGUAGAAUCUGCAGCUGUGCAGGGCGGAAUUGCGGCUCUGUAGGGCGGUAUUGCAGCUGUGCAGGGCGGAAUUGCAGCUGUGCAGGGCGG